ACUCAAAGGAAUAGACGGGGGCCCGCACAAGCGGUGGAGCAUGUGGUUUAAUUCGAUGCUACGCGAAAAACCUUACCUAGGUUUGACAUCCCACGCUACUCGGUGAAAGCCGGGGUUCCCUUCGGGGACGUGGAGACAGGUGCUGCAUGGCUGUCGUCAGCUCGUGUUGUGAGAUGUUGGGUUAAGUCCCGCAACGAGCGCAACCCUCGCUAUUAGUUGCCAGCAUUAAGUUGGGCACUCUAAUAGGACCGCUGGCCUAUAAGGCAGAGGAAGGUGGGGAUGACGUCAAGUCCUCAUGGCCUUUAUAUCUAGGGCAACACACGUGCUACAAUGCGAAGUACAAACCGCAGCUAACUUGCAAAAGUACGCUAAUCGUAAAAAACUUCGCUCAGUUCGGAUUGGAGUCUGCAACUCGACUCCAUGAAGCUGGAAUCGCUAGUAAUCGCGGAUCAGCACGCCGCGGUGAAUACGUUCCCGGGCCUUGUACACACCGCCCGU
This 498-nucleotide ribosomal RNA is filed under the name uncultured bacterium. RNAcentral's name for it is "partial 16S ribosomal RNA". It matches the Rfam family "Bacterial small subunit ribosomal RNA", at positions 899 to 1397 of the family's 1533-position model. The record is from RNAcentral.